UGAGGUUGAUCUGUCAGUUUAGCUGACAUCCUGCGUUUAAAGAAAGUAUUAGAUACAGAAAACAAAACCUGUUUCUGUCUAGAAAAUGAAGUGCCAAAGGAGAAACCCACAACCUCAGUUUGGGAGGAGAGAGCAGGCGAUGUGGGGCGCUGACUUUCACAUUGAACAUGACAGGUAGCCCAGAUGGUUUCUCAAUGGAAAAUGACUUUUCCCGAAGACAUUCUACCAUAUCUGCAAUGUUUCUAGUGCUUACACAUUUGGGUGAAUGAAUAUCAACUUCAUGGUCAUCUUGGGAACAAGAAGUGUGGAGCCAACUCUUAACUCUGAUGUGAAAUCUCAUUGGCCAGUUGACUGCUUCCAAUAUGGGACAAGUGGGACACCAAUAUUCUGGGAAGGAGUAAACAGUAGCUCCAGAGAGGAGUAGCAAUUAUGGAUAGCGAGGCUGUGUGUGUGGUCUGGAGGGCCUUGCCACACAUAGCAAGGACAUCUGAGGCUCUAGGCCAGGUGUGUCAGCACACCUGAGCUUGUGGCAAGAUUUGGAAAAGAAGAGCUCAGCUCCCCUCUGAGAUGCCCAAAAGGAUCCCCUCACACAUUGUGGGCAGCAGACUUGAAGCUGGGCUGCAAUAAAAAACAAACCCAGGGCCAGCCCAUGGUUUCGCAGGUUUGGAUCCUGGGCGCAGACAUGGCACCACUCAUCAGGCCAUGCUGAGGCGGCAUCCCACAUAACACAACCAGAGGCACUCGCAACUGGAAUAUACAACUACAUACUGGGGGGCUUUGGGGAGAAGAAGGAGGAAAAAAAAAAAGAUUGGCAACAGAUGUUAGCUCAGGUGCCAAUCUUUAAAAAACAACAACAAUCCUCCCCCAGGACUGGCUAGAAUCAUUCUGUCCACACAGGUCUCAGCUUCUUAUCAAACAUUUUCCAAUCAGAAACAGCCUUCCCUUCCAAGGAGGAAUUCUGGCACGUGGAUUUCCUCCAGCUCAGCACCGUUGCUUCAGGGGACUCAGUGGUGGGAGGCCAAUGCCAGGGCAGCUUCAAUAAAACCGCC
This 1049-nucleotide long non-coding RNA is filed under the name Equus caballus (horse). RNAcentral describes it as "lncRNA (ENSECAG00000040391.3)". The record is from RNAcentral. Lineage: Eukaryota; Metazoa; Chordata; Mammalia; Perissodactyla; Equidae.